CUUGCGGCCAUAUCACAUUAAAAUACAGGUUCCCGUACGAUCGCCGAAGUUAAGCAACGUUCUCCCUGGUCAGUACCGAGAUGGGUAACCUAUUGGGAAUACCAGUUGCUGUAA
Non-coding RNA from Acanthosepion pharaonis, 114 nucleotides. NCBI's taxonomy places the organism in Eukaryota, Metazoa, Mollusca, Cephalopoda, Sepiida, Sepiidae. The record is from the annotation of a GenBank genome assembly.